CCUACGGGUGGCUGCAGUGGGGAAUAUUGCACAAUGGGCGCAAGCCUGAUGCAGCCAUGCCGCGUGUGUGAAGAAGGCCUUCGGGUUGUAAAGCACUUUCAGCGGGGAGGAAGGCGUUAAGGUUAAUAACCUUGUCGAUUGACGUUACCCGCAGAAGAAGCACCGGCUAACUCCGUGCCAGCAGCCGCGGUAAUACGGAGGGUGCAAGCGUUAAUCGGAAUUACUAGGCGUAAAGCGCACGCAGGCGGUCUGUCAAGUCGGAUGUGAAAUCCCCGGGCUCAACCUGGGAACUGCAUUCGAAACUGGCAGGCUAGAGUCUUGUAGAGGGGGGUAGAAUUCCAGGUGUAGCGGUGAAAUGCGUAGAGAUCUGGAGGAAUACCAGUGGCGAAGGCGGCCCCCUGGACAAAGACUGACGCUCAGGUGCGAAAGCGUGGGGAGCAAACAGGAUUAGAUACCCUUGUAGUC
This 465-nucleotide ribosomal RNA is filed under the name uncultured Klebsiella sp. Its description in RNAcentral is "bacterial SSU rRNA". It matches the Rfam family "Bacterial small subunit ribosomal RNA", at positions 338 to 795 of the family's 1533-position model. Lineage: Bacteria; Pseudomonadati; Pseudomonadota; Gammaproteobacteria; Enterobacterales; Enterobacteriaceae. The record is from RNAcentral.